AUUGAACGCUGGCGGCAUGCUUUACACAUGCAAGUCGAACGGUAACAGGCCGCAAGGUGCUGACGAGUGGCGAACGGGUGAGUAAUGUAUCGGAAUGUGCCCAGUCGUGGGGAUAACGCAGCGAAAGCUGCGCUAAUACCGCAUACGAUCUAUGGAUGAAAGCGGGGGACCGUAAGGCCUCGCGCGAUUGGAGCGGCCGAUAUCAGAUUAGGUAGUUGGUGGGGUAAAGGCUCACCAAGCCAACGAUCUGUAGCUGGUCUGAGAGGACGACCAGCCACACUGGGACUGAGACACGGCCCAGACUCCUACGGGAGCAGCAGUGGGGAAUUUUGGACAAUGGGCGCAAGCCUGAUCCAGCAAAUGCCGCGUGCAGG
Molecule: ribosomal RNA, 374 nt
Filed under: uncultured bacterium
Lineage: Bacteria
Description: bacterial SSU rRNA
Rfam family: Bacterial small subunit ribosomal RNA
Source: RNAcentral